GUUAUUUGCUUCUCAAGUUAAUGCAAUAUACUAAAUCCUUAUGGUGAGUUACUUGCAGGAAAUAAAUUUACAAGUAUAUAAAUUCUGGGCGAUUGCUCAUACAGAAUUACAGAUGACUUUUGGUUCUGAUUCCAUCAGUUUUUGCUCAUACAGAAUUACAGAUGACUUUGGUUCUGGUUCCAUUAGUUUUCCAUUAGGCGGUCUCUUAUUUUUCUAGGGAUAUUUUCAAGACUAAAGGUUUACAAUCAGAAUUAAAUGUUGCACUUUUGUUAGUAUCACAAAUUUGUAUAUUUUGCAAGCUGUUUGUAGUAUAAGGCAGUUAUCAAGCGAAAUCUAGUUAUUGUUUACCGUGGUUUAUAAAGUAUAUUUUAAUAUGCAGAUAAUAUUUUGGAGGAAACGAUUGGAGGAGUGACAAAUUAUAAAGGAUUUUGUGAUGCCUUCUAUGUGGUCAUGAACUUUGAUAAACUUUUCCCGCUCCUUGAUUCUGGUUAAUUUUUCCCACAUUUCGGAGGAAACUUCAGAGAGCAGAGGUUAUCUUUGUUUCUUGGAAACUUCUAAAUGGUUUUCAGGAUGAUGGUGAAGCAAUAUCUUUACAUGUUUGCUCUUUAUUUUUUAUUUUAUUUAUUUUUAAAAUUUUCAGUUGCUCGGAAUGUGAUCUUGACUCUUAUGUACAGAAUAUCCAGUUUUCUUCUGUGCUUCUUCAUCUGCUUGUGGAAAUCCUUGUGGUCAAAGAUAAUGGAUAUUAAUGGAACAAGGGUGUAAGAUUUUCGUUUGGCUUUUUCUUGUUCAUUUCUGUUUCUGCAGUCUUGUUUUUUGUUUUGGGGGAGUUCAGGUGGAGAUUGAUCAUUUCUCAUGGGGUGGUGUGAAGGGAAAAUUAUUCGAUGUUAACUUGUGCCUACAUUUGCAUUGGUGGUUCCCCCUCUCUAGCAUAGCUAUAUAAAUCUAGAUUGUAGACUUUUUUAGGUCUUCUCGUAUAAAAUGCCUUAGGAACUUGAUCUUUCUCCGUGUGCAGACAGAUUGACACGAAGUGGACAAUGCUUAUAGGAAAACUAUUGAGAUUUGAGUUUUUGCUUGUUUUGCUUUACAAAUUAUAUGGCUGAGGUUUCUAAGCAAGUCAUGAUCAACUUUUCCUCUCCUUGAUGGUCUUGUUAAAACCCUUAUUUCUUGCCACCCCAUUGAUGCAACAAGGAUGUCAUUAAAAGUCUAUUCAAGGCGAAAGACUAAUAAUUAGUAGAAUUCGAGUUUAUUUAGUAGUUUUAUUUUGAUAAUGUUCUUAUUGUUCCCCCUUAUUUCUUAUUGUUCCUUAUCAAUUUGUAUGCUUCUGCAUCACCCAUAUUUCAAAUCAAGUUGGAAAUCCGAAAGCACUUUGGAUUUAGCAUCACAUAGCAAUUUAAAAUAUGCAUCAAAUUAUUAUUAUUAUUAUUAUUAUUAUUAUUAUUAUUAUUAUUCAGGCUGAUCAAAUUCUUCCCGCAUGCUUUUUUGUUCUAGUGAGUGUAAAUGGGGCAUGCUGACAAAUACUCUUAAGAAUCUUUGAAUCAGGGUUUUUUGGUUCCAUUGCCUGUAAAUUGAGGCCAUUAAUUGUUCCUGAAAUGGCGGUUCACUCCUAGGUAAUAUCACUAAAUCCUUAGUCAGUGCAUGAAAUAUAUAUAUAAAUCCUGGGUGUUGCUCAUACAUAUAACUUCGGUUUUGGUUCCAUCAGCUUUAGCCAGCAGAUUACUGAGGGGAUAUUUCCAAAAAUAAAGGUUUAAUAUCAGAAUUAAGUGUUGCAUGUUGGAUCUCCUUUCUCAAAUACGUCUGUCAUGUAAAUUUAGUGUUUGAAGUACAAUGCAGUUCUGAAGCAUAUUUAUUUGCUGCAGUUUAUACGUUGUUUUGAAUAAGGUGUUUUUCAAAUGCAGAAAAGGACAAGAUUUUGUCCUCAUGUUUUUGAUUUGCAAUAAUAGAAUUUGUUGUCUCUUUUUAGAUGAUGGUAUCCUAUCAUUGUCAAUCUUUUUAUGCCUGAUUCUCUUACUAUACCUAGGUUUUCAUCCCCUUUUUAUUCCCCCUCGCUCAGAUUUUCUCUGUAAAUUGAGUUGUGUGAAGUUUUCAGUUCAUUGUUUAUGAUGUGGAGUUGUUGGACUCGAAUUUUGCAGCUUGAAUCUACGUAUUUGGUUUAAAUACUAUGACCUUGACUUCCCUCGUAAAAAUUAAUGGGCAGUUGUUUACUGGAAAGUGGUGUUACAGCGUAGGUGAAGAAUUGUUUUGUUAAGGACGAAGAUUUUGUCUGGUCUUUAUUUUUCAUGUUCUCAGCGGUCCCAGUUUGUCUUUUAGGGGAGUUCAGAUGGAUUGGUCAUUUUGUAGGGUAGCACGAAGGGGUAUUCUUUGUUAACUGCAGCUACAUUUGCAAUGGUGAUUUCUUUCAACCUGUUCCAAUAUCUGCUCUACAUGAACGAACUGUAUACUUUUUGACAUCUUUUUUUUUAUAUAUAAUGCCUCAGCACUUUGAUGCAUAUGCCUGACAGAUUGACAUGAAAAGGGCAGUGCGUGAUAGGAAUACUAAUGUCUAAGUUUCUGUGUGUUUGCUUCCUGAUAUUUUGGCCUUUCUGAAGGAGUUUGUCCUGUCUGUCUUUCUAACAAGUCAUGCUGUCCAUCUAUUUCGGUCUGUUUGCUAAUACACUUGUUCAGAUUUGCAUCUUUCCUCUGGUGAAUUGGGUUAAUAUUUUAGGUAUGACUGUACAAGAGCCUUCGGGGCGUUGGUAUUCCAUGUGCAGACAGAGAUUCUUUAAGGAUGAUAAAAUGACUUUUUUGAUUGUUACACCACAAAGAGAAAGGGAUUCUUGGAAUGAGAGUGAACACAGCUUCUGCUGCUGGAGGCCGUUCAUAUACUGAAAAUAUUUUCAAUGGUCUGGUGGACUCUACACCCUCUACCUUAACUGCACACAAUUUCAAUCUUCUCAUGUUAUUCUAUGCGCAGAGUUUAUUUAUUU
This 2963-nucleotide long non-coding RNA is filed under the name Olea europaea (common olive). RNAcentral describes it as "long non-coding RNA (OEUR_LNC005443)". Lineage: Eukaryota; Viridiplantae; Streptophyta; Magnoliopsida; Lamiales; Oleaceae. The record is from RNAcentral.